UAGACAUGAAAAGUAUUUUUUUUAAAGUAAUUUAAAAUGUUUUACUAUUAUCACAUACUAGGGGUUCCCUAAAUAAUGUUGAUAUUAAUAUAUAAGAGUAGAUAAAUAAUUUUUUGUUUGGACCCGAUUGAACACUUUUUUUGUCAGUGUGGAGGCAGCCAUCUUGCAAUUUCCUUGCAAUUAUUUAAUCUCUUGUCGAUAGUUAUUCAUUAGAAAAAGUGCUUGGGAGAGCAUAUGAUAUCAGCAGCCAGUCAGAGUCUGAGAUUUGGAGAGUAGCUCCCCGGAUCCCACUAUUCAGGAAACAGGAAGUGGUUAGUUUUACUCUCGUAUGGUCCACAUGAUAGCAGCAAACUUUUCUCCUUCUCCAAUUAUACUUUUUUCAAAAGAAUGGCCAUUUUACUUUGCAGCAACCACAAGCAUAUAGAUAAUGUACAAAGUAACUGAAGUAAAGUUAAAUUCUCCCAAAAGUAAACUACUAUGCAACAAAUAUUGUAAGUACUGCAGGACUUUCUAUGAAAACAUCAAAUUUAGCCACUUUUUUAAAAAAUGAACACCUGUUAGGGCCUCAACAUAUAGAUGUGUUUGUGUGUAUACAGACACCGAGCACUACAUCUUGCCUGCAAGCCUGGCUGACAUCAAAAUUUCAGCUCCUAUUGACAGAACCUUUCUCUAACAUAAUGCAUAUAUGUCUUCAAAGUUAAAUUUAAAUUAGCAAGCAAGAACUCCGAAAUCACUGCUGACAGCUGGGUCUCUGGGGACAUACCCAGCUAGCACUAAAAGUAAUAACACUUUCAACUCUACACCUGUUAUGCUCACUCCAAAUUUAGAUAUCCUAACCGUCUGCUCCAUGACACCUACCUUGACCCAUGGUGUGUUCAGUCAGACCAAUAAUAUGACAGGGAGAAUUCUUAAGCCUUGAUCCUCCAGCGUUCCCAAGUAUAAUUUUAAGAAUUCUAAAGACCCAAACUGCGAGGAGAAAACAUAUAAUGAAAAGGAAGUCUUCAUAUGGCAGAUAGUCUAAGAUUUAUGAAAUCAUGGUAAUUAAAUUCUGUCCUGAAGAAGCUGCAGCUAACUCGUGUUCUGGCUUAAUGCAGCAAGCGUUUCCCUGCAUUAACCAGUCUGCAUUAAAUUGUUAUAAUAUUUACCUCUUCAUUACAGCCCUCCAUUCAAUUCUACUAACAUCUCAUGCUGACUACACACACUACUUGUUUUUGAUACUAUAUAAUUUGUUCUUAGAUGUCCAAACUUUACAUAAGGGUGGAGGAUAGCUAAACAGCUAGAUCACUAGAUAGUUCAGCAGACAGACAUAUAGAUACACAUUCAUACUCGCACUAGUUCUUAACAAGGUAUAUUAUAAAUUCAAAUCAAGAAAUGUAAAUAUAUUCACACUCUACACUCACCAAUUGAGGAAUUGCGUGCAACCUAAAAGAAUUGGGAGAAGAUGCCAAAUAUAACGUACCUUCAAAGAGUUUGUUGUAGUGCAAUUGUCUAUAAUUAAAAGCUUUGUCCAGGUGUUGUUAAUGAGUCUAGGUUCUACGGGCAACAUAAAUAUAACUACUCUACUUGAUGAAUAACGCAGAAUUUUUGCCAGUUAGAUAAAUCCUAAGAACAGGAGAGUUCCAGGACUGGAAUUUAGAAGGUUAGACAUGUUCAGUAGAUAAAAUGUACCACGUGGGCAAUAUAUAUCGACCCUGCAACACCAAACUCAACAAAUAGGUGUCUCGAGCUUUUGCAUCCAUGAAGAUGCUGCAAAGGGGCCAACAAUAAACAUAAAACAAACCAAAAAUCGGCCUUGAAGGUAAAAUUGCCUGGUUUGUUAUGAUAUAGGAAAAUGGCCUUUUCUGUUGUGGCCUGUGCUUGUAUAAUUAUACUAACAUCAAACGUUCCUUCCUCCUUGCUCACAAUUCCCACCCAUGACUACUACUUGAGCCAGACCUGUCAAACUUGGAGAUUGUGCGUAGCUUGCCAUGCAUGCAGUUGGAGGUUAUUUGCACGUGUGUUUUAUACACCACCGCUAUGCAUUGUCUCUCCCAACUUCUUAGAGUUUAGACAAUAUGUGCUAUAUUGGGAGGGGAACCUCUGGAACUUUGUUUCCUUGCUUUUGGUGAUAAUCUUGCACUGUAUACAUUUAUGCCUGGGCAUGGAAAUACAUAGGGUUUGUAUAGCUCACUCAUGUCUUGACAUGCUUCGUUUACAUUAUUUGCAUUAUUGACUAUCUUUGCUCGUUGUAGCAUAGAAAAUACAUUGCUUUAAAGUAGAUCUUAAGACAAGAG
Molecule: non-coding RNA, 2273 nt
Organism: Pelobates cultripes (western spadefoot toad)
Lineage: Eukaryota; Metazoa; Chordata; Amphibia; Anura; Pelobatidae
Source: the annotation of a GenBank genome assembly